This 478-nucleotide ribosomal RNA is filed under the name uncultured bacterium. Its description in RNAcentral is "bacterial SSU rRNA". It matches the Rfam family "Bacterial small subunit ribosomal RNA", at positions 330 to 800 of the family's 1533-position model. The record is from RNAcentral.
UGCGAACUCCUACGGGAGGCAGCAGUGGGGAAUUUUGGACAAUGGGCGCAAGCCUGAUCCAGCCAUGCCGCGUGUAUGAAGAAGGCCUUAGGGUUGUAAAGUACUUUUGUUAGGGAAGAAAAGGGAAGUGCUAAUACCACUUUUUGCUGACGGUACCUAAAGAAUAAGCACCGGCUAACUACGUGCCAGCAGCCGCGGUAAUACGUAGGGUGCGAGCGUUAAUCGGAAUUACUGGGCGUAAAGCGAGCGCAGACGGUUACUUAAGCAAGAUGUGAAAUCCCCGAGCUCAACUUGGGAACUGCGUUUUGAACUGGGUAGCUAGAGUGUGUCAGAGGGGGGUAGAAUUCCACGUGUAGCAGUGAAAUGCGUAGAGAUGUGGAGGAAUACCGAUGGCGAAGGCAGCCCCCUGGGAUAACACUGACGUUCAUGCUCGAAAGCGUGGGUAGCAAACAGGAUUAGAUACCCCGGUAGUCCUAUC